Molecule: small nucleolar RNA, 216 nt
Organism: Mesocricetus auratus (golden hamster)
Lineage: Eukaryota; Metazoa; Chordata; Mammalia; Rodentia; Cricetidae
Source: Ensembl
AAGACUAUACUUUCAGGGAUCAUUUCUAUAGUUCGUUACUAGAGAAGUUUCUCUGACUGUGUAGAGCACCCGAAACCACGAGGAGGAGACGGAGCUUUCUCCCCUGAGCGUGAAGCCGGCUCCAGGUGCUGCUUUUCUGCAGCUGCCUCUUGCCAUUGAUGAUCGUUCUUCUCUCCCUCGGGAGAGUGAGAGGGGGAGAAAGCAGUCUGAGUGGUU